GCAUAUGUAUGGAAUCAGACAUCCACAGAUCACUCUACUAAAUUGGAAUGGAGGCAGAAGUGGAAGUGGCUCUCCGGGCAUGGCAUGGGACGGUAAUGCUGGCCAAAGAAGAGAUGAACUUACAGAGCCAGAGCCCCCCUUGAUACUUCUGGUUUCUGUGGCAGAGAGAGUCAGGGCCAGCUGAUGAGGAUUACACAGUAGGGAAGAGAGAGCAGAGAUGAAAUUGACUGUUUCUCUAGGCAAGAGAAGCACCUGGUUCCAAAGAAUGGAAACCAGGGAUAUGCAGCCUGGCUAUUAUUUUUAUAAUAAACUUCUGAUUUGGAGAUAAAUUAGGGUCCACAUGUAAUUAUAGGAAUACAGACAGAUACCAUAUACCACUUACCUAUUUUUCCCCAUUGGUAAUAUCUUGCCAAACUGUAGUAUAAUAUUACCAUUAGGGUAUUGGCAUCGAUAUGGGCAAGAUACAGAACAUUUCCAUCCUCACACACAUUCCUCAUGUUGCCCUUUUACAGCCACAUCCACUUUCCUUCCAACUCCACCCCUUCCCU
This 548-nucleotide long non-coding RNA is filed under the name Homo sapiens (human). RNAcentral's name for it is "HSALNT0138215". The record is from RNAcentral. Lineage: Eukaryota; Metazoa; Chordata; Mammalia; Primates; Hominidae.